CUAUGCCAUUGUGAAAUGACGUUGGGGAUGGAGGUGUUGAUGGAACAUGGAGUAACGUGAUCUUUUGGCCUUUUGCAACUACAUUCUCAGUAGCCCAUCUAAGUGCAUAUUGGCUUCCUUUAUUUUUAUCAAUGGCCACAGCUACCAAUCUUUCUUCAUGCAAUCCUUGUGGACUCACCAUAGGACUUUAUUUGGAUGGAAACGAUCAACAAUUUCAAGACCCAAAUAACGUGGUUAUCAAAAUCAAGAUUUCAAGAGGGAAUAAUUUUCCCAACAUUAAUUUGGAAGAAGAAACCCUAGCUAUCGUCUUGUUUCUUGUUUUGGUCAAAAUCAACAUUAGGAAACACAUAAUGGUCGUCAAGAAUUCACUAAACCAUUUCCUGAUUAGAAGGAUGACCAUUAUUCUUGAACUUUUUCAACCAAAAGACGAUAAAGAAAGAUAAUGUCUAUACAUGUUUGAAUUUAAUAGCAAAGCUUUUGCAUGACAUUGAUUUCCAAAAUUACGAAAAACCACCAAUUUGGAAGGCUUUUUAUUUUUUCAUCGGAAGGCUUUUAAUAGUGCAGAAGAAAUUCAUCAUGCAUAUAAAAAAUUAACCUUUUUUUUCAUUUUUUGAAUUGGACAAAGAGCCCCUUGAUCUUGAAAUAAACGGUCAUCAUGAGGUGGUCGCACCCAUUCUUUAAAAGAAAUUGAAAAAUAAAAGAUUAUCUGAUAAUUAGGAGUGUACAUGAGUCGGGUUGGUUCGGAUUUUAUAAUUAUCAAGCCAAACCAAUUGUAUCGGU
RNAcentral lists this long non-coding RNA (780 nucleotides) under Nicotiana benthamiana. RNAcentral describes it as "long non-coding RNA (NBEN_LNC002590)". Lineage: Eukaryota; Viridiplantae; Streptophyta; Magnoliopsida; Solanales; Solanaceae. The record is from RNAcentral.